RNAcentral lists this ribosomal RNA (119 nucleotides) under Lepisosteus oculatus (spotted gar). Lineage: Eukaryota; Metazoa; Chordata; Actinopteri; Semionotiformes; Lepisosteidae. The record is from RNAcentral.
GCCAGCAGCCAUGUCACCCUGCAACUUACAAUUGGCAGCCCACUGAAGCUAAGCAAGUGUGAGCCUGGUCAGUACCUGGAUGGGAGACCUCCUGGGAAAAACUAAGGUUGCUGCUAGAA